GCCCACCUUCCGGAGGUGUCGGGAGAGGACAGCCGAACCGCUUCCGGGAGGUUAAGGAGUUGCCCGCAGUCCCGUGGGUUACAGUGGUAGCUCGCGUGGUUUGGGCUCUGUCUCACCUUCUCCCUCGUACGCCUCCGAUCUCCCCACCCCCAGCUCCUGACCUCUACCGUGCAACUCGCCAGAGCUGCCUGGGCACGGAGAGUAAAAUCAGCUUCGAGAGGCACUUUGCAAGCCUGCAAGACCCAGUCGCAGAUUGGCCAAACUCACCCAGAGUCUCCCAAGGACGCCCCACACAUUCCUGCUGGAGGCCAUCCUUCUAAACGCUCCCUGCCCCUUUUAACCACUUAACCACCUUGCAAGAUCUCAUCCCAGUUUUCUCGUCUUCCCAAUUUGUUGGGAUUCUUUUUCCUUUGAACAACUUUAUUCUAUGCCUUGCUUGUUUGUCUAAGUAGGUUACAGAAUACAGGAGGGCAGGAACCACCCAUCGACUUCCUUUUGUUCCCCACUCUUCCAAAAAUACCACCUUGCAGAGAAGGAACUCAUUAAACACGUGAUUGACUGAAA
This is a long non-coding RNA of Bubalus bubalis (water buffalo), 564 nucleotides long. RefSeq lists it as uncharacterized. The record is from RefSeq and is a predicted model, not a curated record. The transcript is spliced from 2 exons. NCBI's taxonomy places the organism in Eukaryota, Metazoa, Chordata, Mammalia, Artiodactyla, Bovidae.